AUGAAAUUCACCUUCUCAUAUUUUACUGAAAUAAAGUAAAAACUAGAUUCUUAUUUUAAAAAUUUAUCCUUGAUAAAUAUUUAUAAAAAUUAUUUAGAUUUUUGAAAUCACAAAUUUAGAACUAUUAAACACCAGUACAAUUUUUUAUAUGAAAUCUUCAGAACAUUCUUCUAAACUUGACAUUCGCCAAAGUCUAACUCUGUUUCUUUUAUUUGUGACUCGCCAUCUUUACUUUUUAUCGUCUGCGAAAUUUUAAUUUUACAAUAUAGAACUGUACAGAUGUUCUUCACUGGAUAGAUUUUGUACUAAAUAUUCAAAUACAGACUGCAAAUGCUUUACUAAUAUAUUAUAUUUCUCUCUCUUGGAAUCCCAGCUUAUUACAAAAUAAAUAUCAUCAAGGUAUUCUUUGCAAUAAAACAAUUUAUUCCAACAUAUCAAUGUUAAUCAGUAGCUAACACAAUAAUUCGGACACUCGAAUGUUUUUUCGAGAUGUUUUGAAAAACAACAUUUCAUGUUAUAUAUUUCUGUUUGAAGUAAAAAUACAUUACAAGAAUUAUCGUCUGCCUUGGAAAUUAUUACUUAGUAAAAUAUAUUAACAGUUUUAAAUCUGAAGUUAACAUGGCAAGACACUGUAAAUCAAUGGCAAGUUCUGUUCGAAAUUUAGUUCUUCAUGAUUUUAAAUAUGAUAAAAUUAUUCAACAUAUUUACGACGAUUCAAAAUAUUUAUGUUUUAAAAAAUAUUUAUGUCGUACUAAAACGAUGGGAAUUCGGUUAAAAAUGAAGUGCGGCGCUAGGACUACAUUCCAAGCUAACACGAAGGAAUCAGAGAUUUAUUCUACGAAAUAUCAAACAAAAUCCACUAGAAGCGGAUUCAGAAGAACAAUUUGCAAUAAAAGUUAACUCUGAAACUAUAAAAAAGUCAUUAGAACACAUGGAUAGAAUGGGCGAUGAUAAAAAAUGAGCUCCUUCGUCGACAAGAAGACAACGAAAAUACGCAUGACAUUCGUAAAAAUCCAUGCAACUGAUUCGGCUGGCUCAAUUACCUUGUAAAAGACGCAGGAACUCCUCAUAUGAAUGAGCCUUGACAGUGAUUUUCAACAGGGACAUAGGAGGAACGAGAAGAAGGGAGAACAAAGAACCCGGAUUUCGAAAGAACACAUCAGCAGUAGAUAUAGCAGAAGCAGUAUAAUGAGCUGGAAUGAAUUCUGUCGUAGAAUGGAGUGUACCCUCAAUUUUGGGACUCACUGUAUAUUUCGAGCAUAUAAAGUUUAGAAAGAAAUUAAGAAUGUAUCUUUUCUUUACCGAAGAAGUUGAUUUUUGUUUUUCUGACGCCAAAUUUAA
Molecule: long non-coding RNA, 1341 nt
Organism: Stegodyphus dumicola
Lineage: Eukaryota; Metazoa; Arthropoda; Arachnida; Araneae; Eresidae
Source: RefSeq, a predicted model, not a curated record